This 444-nucleotide ribosomal RNA is filed under the name uncultured bacterium. RNAcentral describes it as "bacterial SSU rRNA". It matches the Rfam family "Bacterial small subunit ribosomal RNA", at positions 791 to 1231 of the family's 1533-position model. The record is from RNAcentral.
UAGUCCACGCCGUAAACGUUGAACACUAGGUGUGGUGGACAGAUCCAUGUCUGCCGUGCCGAAGCUAACGCAUUAAGUGUUCCGCCUGGGGAGUACGGCCGCAAGGCUAAAACUCAAAGGAAUUGACGGGGGCCCCGCACAAGCGGCGGAGCAUGCGGCUUAAUUCGAUGCAACCCGAAGAACCUUACCUGGACUUGACAUUAUGGGUCUAUCCGUGGAAACACGGAGUGCUUAGGCGCUCAUAACAGGUGGUGCAUGGCUGUCGUCAGCUCGUGUCGUGAGAUGUUGGGUUAAGUCCCGCAACGAGCGCAACCCUUAUCCUAUGUUGCCAACACGUAAUGGUGGGGACUCAUAGGAGACUGCCGGGGACAACUCGGAGGAAGGGCGAGGACGACGUCAAGUCAUCAUGCCCCUUAUGUUCAGGGGCUGCACGCAUGCUACAAU